Molecule: ribosomal RNA, 1424 nt
Filed under: uncultured bacterium
Lineage: Bacteria
Description: partial 16S ribosomal RNA
Rfam family: Bacterial small subunit ribosomal RNA
Source: RNAcentral
AGAGUUUUAUCCUGGCUCAGGAUGAACGCUGGCGGCGUGCCUAAUACAUGCAAGUCGAACGAAAGUUCUUUAUCACCGAGUGCUUGCACUCACCGAUAAAGAGUUGAGUGGCGAACGGGUGAGUAACACGUGGGCAACCUGCCCAAAAGAGGGGGAUAACACUUGGAAACAGGUGCUAAUACCGCAUAACCAUAGUUACCGCAUGGUAACUAUGUAAAAGGUGGCUAUGCUACCGCUUUUGGAUGGGCCCGCGACGCAUUAGCUAGUUGGUGGGGUAAAGGCUUACCAAGGCAAUGAUGCGUAGCCGAACCGAGAGGUUGAUCGGCCACAUUGGGACUGAGACACGGCCCAAACUCCUACGGGAGGCAGCAGUAGGGAAUCUUCCACAAUGGGCGAAAGCCUGAUGGAGCAACGCCGCGUGGGUGAAGAAGGUCUUCGGAUCGUAAAACCUUGUUGUUAGAGAAGAAAGUGCGUGAGAGUAACUGUUCACGUUUCGACGGUAUCUAACCAGAAAGCCACGGCUAACUACGUGCCAGCAGCCGCGGUAAUACGUAGGUGGCAAGCGUUAUCCGGAUUUAUUGGGCGUAAAGGGAACGCAGGCGGUCUUUUAAGUCUGAUGUGAAAGCCUUCGGCUUAACCGGAGUAGUGCUUUGGAAACUGGGAGACUUGAGUGCAGAAGAGGAGAGUGGAACUCCAUGUGUAGCGGUGAAAUGCGUAGAUAUAUGGAAGAACACCAGUGGCGAAAGCGGCUCUCUGGUCUGUAACUGACGCUGAGGUUCGAAAGCGUGGGUAGCAAACAGGAUUAGAUACCCUGGUAGUCCACGCCGUAAACGAUGAAUGCUAAGUGUUGGAGGGUUUCCGCCCUUCAGUGCUGCAGCUAACGCAAUAAGCAUUCCGCCUGGGGAGUACGACCGCAAGGUUGAAACUCAAAGGAAUUGACGGGGGCCCGCACAAGCGGUGGAGCAUGUGGUUUAAUUCGAUGAUACGCGAGGAACCUUACCCGGGCUCAAACGCAGGAGGGAUGUUUUUGAAAGGAGGCAGCCAGCAAUGGUCUCCUGCGAGGUGCUGCAUGGUUGUCGUCAGCUCGUGCCGUGAGGUGUCGGCUUAAGUGCCAUAACGAGCGCAACCCCUACCUACAGUUGCCAUCGCGUGAUGGCGGGCACUCUGUGGGGACUGCCUGCGCAAGCAGUGAGGAAGGCGGGGAUGACGUCAAAUCAGCACGGCCCUUACGUCCGGGGCGACACACGUGUUACAAUGGCAGGUACAGCGGGAAGCCACCCGGCGACGGGGCGCGGAACCCGAAAACCUGUCUCAGUUCGGAUUGGAGUCUGCAACCCGACUCCAUGAAGCUGGAUUCGCUAGUAAUCGCGCAUCAGCCACGGCGCGGUGAAUACGUUCCCGGGCCUUGUACACACCGCCCGUCA